Molecule: ribosomal RNA, 374 nt
Filed under: uncultured organism
Description: partial 16S ribosomal RNA
Rfam family: Bacterial small subunit ribosomal RNA
Source: RNAcentral
GUAGGUGGGCAAGCGUUGUCCGGAAUUAUUGGGCGUAAAGCGCGCGCAGGGCGGUCCUUUAAGUCUGAUGUGAAAGCCCACGGCUCAACCGUGGAGGGUCAUUGGAAACUGGGGGACUUGAGUACAGAAGAGGAAAGCGGAAUUCCAAGUGUAGCGGUGAAAUGCGUAGAGAUUUGGAGGAACACCAGUGGCGAAGGCGGCUUUCUGGUCUGUAACUGACGCUGAGGCGCGAAAGCGUGGGGAGCAAACAGGAUUAGAUACCCUGGUAGUCCACGCCGUAAACGAUGAGUGCUAAGUGUUAGGGGGUUUCCGCCCCCUUAGUGCUGCAGCUAACGCAUUAAGCACUCCGCCUGGGGAGUACGGCCGCAAGGCUG